This 460-nucleotide ribosomal RNA is filed under the name uncultured bacterium. RNAcentral describes it as "partial 16S ribosomal RNA". It matches the Rfam family "Bacterial small subunit ribosomal RNA", at positions 338 to 795 of the family's 1533-position model. The record is from RNAcentral.
CCUACGGGGUGCAGCAGUGAGGAAUAUUGGUCAAUGGACGAGAGUCUGAACCAGCCAAGUAGCGUGAAGGAUGACUGCCCUAUGGGUUGUAAACUUCUUUUAUAAAGGAAUAAAACGAGGCACGUGUGCCUUUUUGCAUGUACUUUAUGAAUAAGGAUCGGCUAACUCCGUGCCAGCAGCCGCGGUAAUACGGAGGAUCCGAGCGUUAUCCGGAUUUAUUGGGUUUAAAGGGAGCGUAGAUGGGUUGUUAAGUCAGUUGUGAAAGUUUGCGGCUCAACCGUAAAAUUGCAAUUGAUACUGGCAGUCUUGAGUACAGUUGAGGUAGGCGGAAUUCGUGGUGUAGCGGUGAAAGGCUUAGAUAUCACGAAGAACCCCGAUUGCGAAGGCAGCUUACUAAACUGUGACUGACAUUGAUGCUCGAAAGUGUGGGUAUCAAACAGGAUUAGAUACCCUUGUAGUC